Molecule: ribosomal RNA, 600 nt
Filed under: uncultured bacterium
Lineage: Bacteria
Description: bacterial SSU rRNA
Rfam family: Bacterial small subunit ribosomal RNA
Source: RNAcentral
CGUGAUAUGUCUGGAANCUGCUGAUGAGGGAUACUAUGAAGUNCUAUACGUAUACGUCGCAGACAAGAGGGACUCGGCCUCUGCAUCAGAUGUGCCAAAUGGNAUAGCUAGUAGGUGGUACGGCUCACUAGACUAUCCUGCUGUCUGAGAGGAUGACACAGAUGAAUGAAAACGUCACAUCUACGGAGGCACAGUGGGGANUUUUGCCAUGGGCGCAGCCUGAUGCACCAUGCCGGUGUNUAAGAGCCUUCGGGUUGUAAGUACUUUCAGGGGAGGAGUGUUGUGGUUAUAACCACAGNAAUUGGCGUUACCCGCAGAAGAUGCACCGGCUAACUCCGUGCCAGCAGCCGCGGUAAUACGGAGGGUGCAACGCGUUAAUCGGAAUUACUGGGCGUAAAGCGCACGCAGGCGGUCUGUCAAGUCGGAUGUGAAAUCCCCGGGCUCAACCUGGGAACUGCAUUCGAAACUGGCAGGCUAAGUCUUGUAAGGGGGGUAAAUUCCAGGUGUACGGUGAAUGCGUAAGAUCUGGAGGAAUACCGGUGGCGAAGCGGCCCCUGGAAAAACUGACGCUCAGUGCGAAAGCGUGGGGAGCAACAGAUU